ACCUACGGGGGGCAGCAGUAGGGAAUUUUCGUCAAUGAGCGCAAGCCUGAACGAGCAAUGCCGCGUGAACGAGGAAGGUCUUCGGAUCGUAAAGUUCUGUUGAAGGGGAAAAAGAGCGGAGAGAGGAAAUGGUCUCCGAUUGAUAUUACCCUUCGAGGAAGUCACGGCUAACUACGUGCCAGCAGCCGCGGUAAUACGUAGGUGGCGAGCGUUAUCCGGAAUGAUUGGGCGUAAAGGGUGCGUAGGCGGCCUGCUAAGUCUGGAGUGAAAGGUACCGGCUCAACCGGUACAGGCUCUGGAAACUG
Molecule: ribosomal RNA, 305 nt
Filed under: uncultured bacterium
Lineage: Bacteria
Description: bacterial SSU rRNA
Rfam family: Bacterial small subunit ribosomal RNA
Source: RNAcentral